GACGAACGCUGGCGGCGUGCUUAACACAUGCAAGUCGAACGGAAAGGCCCUGCUUUUGUGGGGUGCUCGAGUGGCGAACGGGUGAGUAACACGUGAGUAACCUGCCCUUUACUUUGGGAUAACUUCAGGAAACUGGGGCUAAUACCGGAUAGGAGCUCCUGCUGCAUGGUGGGGGUUGGAAAGUUUCGUCGGUUGGGGAUGGACUCGCGGCUUAUCAGCUUGUUGGUGGGGUAGUGGCUUACCAAGGCUUUGACGGGUAGCCGGCCUGAGAGGGUGACCGGCCACAUUGGGACUGAGAUACGGCCCAGACUCCUACGGGAGGCAGCAGUGGGGAAUAUUGCACAAUGGGCGGAAGCCUGAUGCAGCAACGCCGCGUGCGGGAUGACGGCCUUCGGGUUGUAAACCGCUUUCGCCUGUGACGAAGCGUGAGUGACGGUAAUGGGUAAAGAAGCACCGGCUAACUACGUG
RNAcentral lists this ribosomal RNA (468 nucleotides) under uncultured bacterium. RNAcentral describes it as "partial 16S ribosomal RNA". It matches the Rfam family "Bacterial small subunit ribosomal RNA", at positions 28 to 507 of the family's 1533-position model. The record is from RNAcentral.